Non-coding RNA from Triticum aestivum (bread wheat), 124 nucleotides. The record is from Rfam. Lineage: Eukaryota; Viridiplantae; Streptophyta; Magnoliopsida; Poales; Poaceae.
GUAAUACUCCCUCCGUUCAGAAAUACUUGUCCAAUGAAUGGAUAAAAUAUAUGUAUAUAGAACUAAAAUACGUCUAGAUACAUCCAUUCCUCCGACAAGUAUUUCCGAACAGAGGGAGUAUAUA